RNAcentral lists this ribosomal RNA (450 nucleotides) under uncultured bacterium. Its description in RNAcentral is "partial 16S ribosomal RNA". It matches the Rfam family "Bacterial small subunit ribosomal RNA", at positions 29 to 523 of the family's 1533-position model. The record is from RNAcentral.
AACGAACGCUGGCGGCAGGCUUAACACAUGCAAGUCGAACGGGUGUAGCAAUACAUCAGUGGCAGACGGGUGAGUAACACGUGGGAACCUUCCUAGGGGUACGGAACAACUCAGGGAAACUUGAGCUAAUACCGUAUACGUCCGUGAGGAGAAAGAUUUAUCGCCCUUAGACGGGCCCGCGUCGGAUUAGCUAGUUGGUGGGGUAACGGCAUACCAAGGCGACGAUCCGUAGCUGAUCUUAGAGGAUGAUCAGCACACUGGGACUGAGACACGGCCCAGACUCCUACGGGAGGCAGCAGUGGGGAAUCUUGGACAAUGGGCGCAAGCCUGAUCCAGCCAUGCCGCGUGAGUGAAGAAGGUCUUCGGAUUGUAAAGCUCUUUUGCCAGGGACGAUAAUGACGGUACCUGGAGAAUAAGCCCCGGCAAACUUCGUGCCAGCCGCCGCCGUAA